RNAcentral lists this long non-coding RNA (1353 nucleotides) under Homo sapiens (human). RNAcentral describes it as "HSALNT0187690". The record is from RNAcentral. Lineage: Eukaryota; Metazoa; Chordata; Mammalia; Primates; Hominidae.
UACAAAAAGAGUGUUUCCAAAGUGCUGAAUCAAAAGAAAAGAUUACGUCUGUGAGCUGAAUCCACAUAUCACAAAGCAGUUUCACAGAUUCUACAUAAGGAGUGUUUCCAAACUGCUGAAUAAAAAGAAUGGUUUACCUGUGAGCUGAAUGCAGACUUCACAAAGCAAUUUCACAGAUAACUUCUUUCUAGUUUUUAUCAUGAGAUAUUUGAUUUUUCACAAUAAGCCUUACUGAACUCUGAAAUGUCCCUUAGCAAAUUGUACAGAGUGUUUCCAAACUGCUGAAUCAAAAAAAAAAAAAAAGUUUAGCUCUCUGAGCUGAACUUAUACAUCACAAAGCCAUUUCACAGAUAGCUUCUUUUUAGUUUUUUUCAUGGGACAUUCAGGUUUUCACUACAGGACUUGUGCUCUGAAAUGGCCCUUUGCAUAUUCUAAAAAAAAGAGGGUUUCCUACCUGCAGAAUCAAAAGAAAGGUUUAACUCUGUGAGCUGAAACCACACAUCACAAAGUAGUUUCACAGAAAGCUUAUUUCUAGAUAUUAUCAAGAGAUAUCGGUUUUUCACUAUAGGGCUAGGGGGCUGUGAAUUGUCCCUUUGCAGAUUCUAUGAAAAGAGUGUUUCCAAACUGCUGAAUCAAAAGAAAGGUUAACUCUGUGGGCUGAAUCUACACAAUCCAAAGCAGUUUCACAGAUAGCUUCUUUCUAGUGUUUAUCCCUAGCUAUUCAGUUUUUCACUGUAGGCCUCACUGCACUCCGAAAUGUCUCUCCACAGAUUCUAUGUAAUGAGUAUUCACAAACUGCUGAAUAAAAAGAAAAGUUUAACCUGUGAGCUGAAUGCCAACAUCACAAAGCAGUUUUACAGACAACAUCUUCCCAGUUUUUAUCAUGAGAUAAUUGGUUUUUCACUAUAGGCCUUACUGAGCUCUGAAAUGUCCCUUCACAGAUUCUACAAAAAGAGUGUUUCCAAACUGCUUGAAUCAAAAGAAAAGAUGAAUUCUGUGAACUUAAUCCACAUAUCACAAAGCAGUUUCAGUUAGCUUCUUUCUGUUUUUCUUCAUGGGAUAUUCAGUUUUUCACUAUAGGCCUAGUGGCCUCUGAAAUGUCCCUUCACAGAUUCUACAAAAAGAGUAUUUCCAAGAGUUGAAUCAAAAGAAAGGUUUAACCCUGUGAUCUGAAUGCAGACAUCACAAAAAAGUUUCACAGAUAGCUUCUUCCUAAUUUUUAUCACGGGAUAUUGGGUUUUUUACUAUAAGACUUAAUGUGCUCUGAAAUGUCCCUUAGCAGAUUCUACAAAUAGAGCGUUUCCAAACUGCUGAAUUAAAAGAAAGUUUUAACUCUGGAAGCUGAAUCCAUAC